GGGUUGUGAGGUUAAGCGACUAAGCGUACACGGUGGAUGCCCUGGCAGUCAGAGGCGAUGAAGGACGUGCUAAUCUGCGAUAAGCGUCGGUAAGGUGAUAUGAACCGUUAUAACCGGCGAUUUCCGAAUGGGGAAACCCAGUGUGUUUCGACACACUAUCAUUAACUGAAUCCAUAGGUUAAUGAGGCGAACCGGGGGAACUGAAACAUCUAAGUACCCCGAGGAAAAGAAAUCAACCGAGAUUCCCCCAGUAGCGGCGAGCGAACGGGGAGCAGCCCAGAGCCUGAAUCAGUGUGUGUGUUAGUGGAAGCGUCUGGAAAGGCGCGCGAUACAGGGUGACAGCCCCGUACACAAAAAUGCACAUGCUGUGAGCUCGAUGAGUAGGGCGGGACACGUGGUAUCCUGUCUGAAUAUGGGGGGACCAUCCUCCAAGGCUAAAUACUCCUGACUGACCGAUAGUGAACCAGUACCGUGAGGGAAAGGCGAAAAGAACCCCGGCGAGGGGAGUGAAAAAGAACCUGAAACCGUGUACGUACAAGCAGUGGGAGCACGCUUAGGCGUGUGACUGCGUACCUUUUGUAUAAUGGGUCAGCGACUUAUAUUCUGUAGCAAGGUUAACCGAAUAGGGGAGCCGAAGGGAAACCGAGUCUUAACUGGGCGUUAAGUUGCAGGGUAUAGACCCGAAACCCGGUGAUCUAGCCAUGGGCAGGUUGAAGGUUGGGUAACACUAACUGGAGGACCGAACCGACUAAUGUUGAAAAAUUAGCGGAUGACUUGUGGCUGGGGGUGAAAGGCCAAUCAAACCGGGAGAUAGCUGGUUCUCCCCGAAAGCUAUUUAGGUAGCGCCUCGUGAAUUCAUCUCCGGGGGUAGAGCACUGUUUCGGCAAGGGGGUCAUCCCGACUUACCAACCCGAUGCAAACUGCGAAUACCGGAGAAUGUUAUCACGGGAGACACACGGCGGGUGCUAACGUCCGUCGUGAAGAGGGAAACAACCCAGACCGCCAGCUAAGGUCCCAAAGUCAUGGUUAAGUGGGAAACGAUGUGGGAAGGCCCAGACAGCCAGGAUGUUGGCUUAGAAGCAGCCAUCAUUUAAAGAAAGCGUAAUAGCUCACUGGUCGAGUCGGCCUGCGCGGAAGAUGUAACGGGGCUAAACCAUGCACCGAAGCUGCGGCAGCGACACUAUGUGUUGUUGGGUAGGGGAGCGUUCUGUAAGCCUGUGAAGGUGUGCUGUGAGGCAUGCUGGAGGUAUCAGAAGUGCGAAUGCUGACAUAAGUAACGAUAAAGCGGGUGAAAAGCCCGCUCGCCGGAAGACCAAGGGUUCCUGUCCAACGUUAAUCGGGGCAGGGUGAGUCGACCCCUAAGGCGAGGCCGAAAGGCGUAGUCGAUGGGAAACAGGUUAAUAUUCCUGUACUUGGUGUUACUGCGAAGGGGGGACGGAGAAGGCUAUGUUGGCCGGGCGACGGUUGUCCCGGUUUAAGCGUGUAGGCUGGUUUUCCAGGCAAAUCCGGAAAAUCAAGGCUGAGGCGUGAUGACGAGGCACUACGGUGCUGAAGCAACAAAUGCCCUGCUUCCAGGAAAAGCCUCUAAGCAUCAGGUAACAUCAAAUCGUACCCCAAACCGACACAGGUGGUCAGGUAGAGAAUACCAAGGCGCUUGAGAGAACUCGGGUGAAGGAACUAGGCAAAAUGGUGCCGUAACUUCGGGAGAAGGCACGCUGAUAUGUAGGUG
Molecule: ribosomal RNA, 1729 nt
Filed under: Escherichia coli
Lineage: Bacteria; Pseudomonadati; Pseudomonadota; Gammaproteobacteria; Enterobacterales; Enterobacteriaceae
Description: partial 23S ribosomal RNA
Rfam family: Bacterial large subunit ribosomal RNA
Source: RNAcentral